GCUCGUAGUUGGAUCUCAGGCAUGGUGCUAGUGGUCCACCUCAGGUGUGACUGCUAGUUCGCCGCCUAAUUAGCUGUAUGUGGUCGUGUAUGCUCUUCAGUGGGUGUGCAUGAUACUCAGCACGUUUACUUUGAAAAAAUCAGAGUGCUCAAAGCAAGCGUUGCGCUUGAAUAGUGUUGCAUGGAAUAAUAAAAUAGGACUUCGCGUCUAUUUUGUUGGUUUUCGGUCACGAAGUAAUGAUUAAAAGAGACAAAUGGGGGCAUCUGUAUGGUGGCGUUAGAGGUGAAAUUCGAUGACCGCCGCCAGACAAUCUACUGCGAAAGCAUUUGCCAAAGAUGUUUUCAUUAAUCAAGAACGAAAGUCAGAGGUUCGAAGACGAUCAGAUACCGUCCUAGUUCUGACCAUAAACGAUGCCGAUUGACAAUCAGGGUUUUUUAUUUUUUCUGAAUCCUGGCAGUCCCUGGGAAACCUUUAAAUCUACAGGUUCUGGGGGAAGUAUGGUUGCAAGGCUGAAACUUAAAGGAAUUGACGGAAGGGCACCACCAGGAGUGGAGCCUGCGGCUUAAUUUGACUCAACACGGGGAAACUCACCCGGCCCGAACACUGUGAGGAUUGACAGAUUGAUAGCUCUUUCUUGAUUCAGUGGGUGGUGGUGCAUGGCCGUUCUUAGUUGGUGGAGUGAUUUGUCUGGUUAAUUCCGAUAACGAACGAGACUCUAGCCUGCUAAAUAGUCAGCUGGUAUCUACUUUGCCAGUAUGACUUCUUAGAGGGAUAGGCUACGUUUAGUGGCAAGAAAGUGAGCAAUAACAGGUCUGUGAUGCCCUUAGAUGUUCGGGGCCGCACGCGCGCUACACUGGCAAUAGCAAUAAGUUCACACCUGUGCCGAAAGGCUUGGGGAAUCUUACGAAAUAUUGCCAUGUCAGGGAUUGGGGCUUGUAAUUAUUCCCCAUGAACGAGGAAUUCCCAGU
RNAcentral lists this ribosomal RNA (968 nucleotides) under uncultured eukaryote. RNAcentral's name for it is "SSU rRNA". It matches the Rfam family "Eukaryotic small subunit ribosomal RNA", at positions 626 to 1618 of the family's 1831-position model. The record is from RNAcentral.